GGGGAUUUAGCUCAGCGGUAGGGCGCUUGCCUAGCAAGCACAAGACCCUGGGUUCGGUCCCCAGCUCCG
Molecule: transfer RNA, 69 nt
Filed under: Rattus norvegicus (Norway rat)
Lineage: Eukaryota; Metazoa; Chordata; Mammalia; Rodentia; Muridae
Rfam family: tRNA
About the family: Transfer RNA (tRNA) molecules are approximately 80 nucleotides in length. Their secondary structure includes four short double-helical elements and three loops (D, anti-codon, and T loops).
Source: Rfam by way of RNAcentral